AAUGGGCGAAAGCCUGACGCAGCAAUUCCGCGUGGUCGAUGACGCUUUUCGGAGUGUAAAGACCUUUCGGCAGUGACGAUAAUGACGGUAACUGCAAAAGAAGCACCGGCUAACUACGUGCCAGCAGCCGCGGUAAUACGUAGGGUGCAAGCGUUGUCCGGAUUCAUUGGGCGUAAAGAGUUCGUAGGCGGUUUACCAAGUCCGGAGUUAAAAUUCGGGGCUCAACCCCGUCAUGGCUUCGGAAACUGGUAAGCUAGAGUCUGGUAGAGGCAAGGGGAAUUCUCGGUGUAGCGGUGAAAUGCGUAGAUAUCGGGAGGAACACCAGUGGCGAAAGCGCCUUGCUGGCCCAGUACUGACGCUGAGGAACGAAAGCCAGGGUAGCGAAAGGGAUU
RNAcentral lists this ribosomal RNA (392 nucleotides) under uncultured cyanobacterium. Its description in RNAcentral is "bacterial SSU rRNA". It matches the Rfam family "Bacterial small subunit ribosomal RNA", at positions 370 to 779 of the family's 1533-position model. Lineage: Bacteria; Bacillati; Cyanobacteriota. The record is from RNAcentral.